GAUGAACGCUGGCGGCGUGCCUAAUACAUGCAAGUCGAGCGAACGGACGAGAAGCUUGCUUCUCUGAUGUUAGCGGCGGACGGGUGAGUAGCACGUGGAUAACCUACCUAUAAGACUGGGAUAACUUCGGGAAACCGGAGCUAAUACCGGAUAAUAUUUUGAACCGCAUGGUUCAAAAGUGAAAGACGGUCUUGCUGUCACUUAUAGAUGGAUCCGCGCUGCAUUAGCUAGUUGGUAAGGUAACGGCUUACCAAGGCAACGAUGCAUAGCCGACCUGAGAGGGUGAUCGGCCACACUGGAACUGAGACACGGUCCAGACUCCUACGGGAGGCAGCAGUAGGGAAUCUUCCGCAAUGGGCGAAAGCCUGACGGAGCCACGCCGCGUGAGUGAUGAAGGUCUUCGGAUCGUAAAACUCUGUUAUUAGGGAAGAACAUAUGUGUAAGUAACUGUGCACAUCUUGACGGUACCUAAUCAGAAAGCCACGGCUAACUACGUG
This 497-nucleotide ribosomal RNA is filed under the name uncultured bacterium. RNAcentral's name for it is "partial 16S ribosomal RNA". It matches the Rfam family "Bacterial small subunit ribosomal RNA", at positions 28 to 507 of the family's 1533-position model. The record is from RNAcentral.